RNAcentral lists this ribosomal RNA (252 nucleotides) under uncultured bacterium. RNAcentral describes it as "partial 16S ribosomal RNA". It matches the Rfam family "Bacterial small subunit ribosomal RNA", at positions 524 to 776 of the family's 1533-position model. The record is from RNAcentral.
UACGGAGGGUGCAAGCGUUAAUCGGAAUUACUGGGCGUAAAGAGUGCGUAGGUGGUUGAUAAGUUAUCUGUGAAAUCCCUGGGCUUAACCUGGGCAGGUCAGAUGAUACUGUUUGACUCGAGUAUGGGAGAGGGUAGUGGAAUUUCCGGUGUAGCGGUGAAAUGCGUAGAGAUCGGAAGGAACACCAGUGGCGAAGGCGGCUACCUGGCCUAAUACUGACACUGAGGCACGAAAGCGUGGGGAGCAAACAGG